Molecule: ribosomal RNA, 386 nt
Filed under: uncultured bacterium
Lineage: Bacteria
Description: bacterial SSU rRNA
Rfam family: Bacterial small subunit ribosomal RNA
Source: RNAcentral
AUUGAACGCUGGCGGCAUGCCUUACACAUGCAAGUCGAACGCGAAAGCGGGGCAACCCGCAAGUAGAGUGGCGAACGGGUGAGUAAUACAUCGGAACGUGUCCAGUAGCGGGGGAUAACCUCUCGAAAGAGAGGCUAAUACCGCAUACGACCUACGGGUGAAAGGAGGGGGAUCGCAAGACCUCUCACUAUUGGAGCGGCCGAUGUCGGAUUAGCUAGUUGGACGGGGUAAAGCCCACCAAGGCUACGAUCCGUAGCUGGUCUGAGAGGACGACCAGCCACACUGGAACUGAGACACGGUCCAGACUCCUACGGGAGGCAGCAGUGGGGAAUUCUGGACAAUGGGCGAAAGCCUGAUCCAGCCAUGCCGCGUGAGUGAAGAAGGCC